CCUACGGGAGGCAGCAGUCGAGAAUCAUUCACAAUGGGGGAAACCCUGAUGGUGCGACGCCGCGUGGGGGAAUGAAGGUCUUCGGAUUGUAAACCCCUGUCAUGUGGGAGCAAAUUAAAAAGAUAGUACCGCAAGAGGAAGAGACGGCUAACUCUGUGCCAGCAGCCGCGGUAAUACAGAGGGCUCAAGCGUUGUUCGGAAUCACUGGGCGUAAAGGGUGCGUCGGCGGUUUCGUAAGACGGGUGCGAAAGGCGCGGGCUCAACCCGCGGACGGCACAUGGUACUGCGAGACUAGAGUGAGGGAGAGGGAAGCGGAAUUCGCGGUGUAGCAGUGAAAUGCGUAGAUAUCGAGAAGAACACUCGUGGCGAAGGCGGGUUCCUGGGCAGUAACUGACGCUGAGGCACGAAAGCGAGGGGAGCGAAAGGGAUUAGAUACCCGAGUAGUC
This 446-nucleotide ribosomal RNA is filed under the name uncultured bacterium. RNAcentral's name for it is "partial 16S ribosomal RNA". It matches the Rfam family "Bacterial small subunit ribosomal RNA", at positions 338 to 795 of the family's 1533-position model. The record is from RNAcentral.